RNAcentral lists this ribosomal RNA (348 nucleotides) under Candidatus Mycoplasma haematoparvum. RNAcentral describes it as "bacterial SSU rRNA". It matches the Rfam family "Bacterial small subunit ribosomal RNA", at positions 441 to 799 of the family's 1533-position model. The record is from RNAcentral. Lineage: Bacteria; Bacillati; Mycoplasmatota; Mollicutes; Mycoplasmatales; Mycoplasmataceae.
UAGGAAAUGAUUAAGCCUUGAUCGAACUAAAUGAAUAAGUGACAGCUAACUAUGUGCCAGCAGCUGCGGUAAAACAUAGGUCACGAGCAUUAUCCGGAUUUAUUGGGCGUAAAGGAAGCGUAGGCGGACAAGUUGAUCUAUUGUGAAAAGCACUUGCUCAACAAGUUGUUUGUGAUAGAUAUCGCUUGUCUAGAAUUAGUUAGGAGAUACUGGAAUUCAAUGUGUAGCGGUGGAAUGCGUAGAUAUAUUGAGGAACACCAGAGGCUAAGGCGAGUAUCUAGAACAUAAUUGACGCUGAGGCUUGAAAGCGUGGGGAGCAAAUGGGAUUAGAUACCCCAGUAGUCCACG